ACUAUACAAAAGAGAAUUUUGCAAAAAAACAGGGCCAAAAUAAAAAAAAAAAACUAAGGCACAUCCCCAAUUCUCAGCCAAUCACAUGCUUAGGUGACCUACCUGAAAUCACCCGCGCGUGAGGUUAAGAUAUUGAAGCUCCGUUCAACUCAGUAUACCUGGCGGUGACUGGUUGCAAGAAAGGCAGGCAACGGACUGGCACGUGGCGACCGUAAAGGCACUUCGUUCAGCUGCUUCCCGUUACUAUCGUAAUAAAUUACGCCCGAGAAAUCCAACGGCUCACAUUUAUCUCCCAUCAAGAUCGCCUUCUGCCAAACUCCGCCGUCUCCCCACUCCUCUUCGGCAUCGCCGCCGCAGCGCUUAUUCUUCUUCUUAUGAAUCAACGUGAUCGCGGUGUUGCUUAUGUUCUUCAGAAACCGCUUCGGUCGGAGUUGCGGUGAUCGCAACUCUAAUCGCGGCAAUUGCUUCGAUUUCAGUUUGGUUUGAAGCUUUUUUGAUGCUCUGUUCGCUUGCUUCGCACAGAGCGCUACCAGAGUCGAUAAAGAGAUGAGCAAAGUCGCCGCCGCGCGCCUCGGCGUCGCCAGAACAGAGCCACCGCCGGAGAUGGAGGUCGAGCCGCCGAGUUCCGGUGUGGCUUGGCCCAUGCUUGAAGAAAUCGGAAAUGCAAAUUUUCGAUUUAGA
RNAcentral lists this unclassified non-coding RNA (681 nucleotides) under Hevea brasiliensis (rubber tree). Lineage: Eukaryota; Viridiplantae; Streptophyta; Magnoliopsida; Malpighiales; Euphorbiaceae. The record is from RNAcentral.